UCCAAAUGCUCAGCGGACAAGUGAAGGACGGAGCUGUGGCAGAAGAGGCGGCGCGACGGAGCAGAAGGGGCGGCACGACGGAGUAGGAGAAGAUGGUGCGGCGCGGCGGCCGGAGAAGAGUUUUGGUGAUGAGCUUGUGGCGACGCUGGACCAGCUGCUGCUGCCCCCAUGCGCCGUCGCCGUGGGAGGACCUCGUUGGCGCUGCGAAGGGGGCACAACUCAGGUUGGGUACGCCGUCGGCCAUCGCCGGCGGCGAGCACGCUCCACUGUGACAUGUCCGCCACAGCCAGUCCUCUCCCGCCUCCCCCAACUCCGUGUCCUUGUCCAACGCAAAUCAAUGGAGCUGCCGACCCAGAUUGUUGUUGGCUGCUAUAAGAAGGGAGGGUCCUCGGCUCGAAUCUCCAUCAGGUUAGUUUUGGACGAAGCAUCCAAUGUCGACACCGAGUUCGCCGCAGGAAGAAGCGCCGAUUUCGCCGGAGGUAGAAGAAGCGCCGAGUUCGGCGAAGGUAGAAGAACAGCCGUCGAGCUGUCCAAUGUCGCCUGCGUCGGCUAUAGCAGAAGACCUUAAGAUCAGCGAUGAACAUACGUCGAGCCGUCCAAUAUUUCCUGUGGCACCAACACCAAAGAGGAUUUUGAUAACCGACCUUCCAAAAAGGCAAAAAUUUCUGAAUCAGGUGUUCUGGAACCAUCACCUAUGUCACCAACUAUGAAAACAUCUUCUCCAUGUUCAGAGUGUUUUGAAUCGAUCAUGCUGGAAUCAGAUAAUCAGAUGAAUCAUGAUACACUACCAUCACCUCCAUCCCCAUCUAGCUCGACAAUAUCUCAUGUUUCUCCAUUGCAUGAUGUUAAGGAACCAGAUUCACAUAAAGAGAUCAAAGUUGAUGAGACAUAUGAUUAUCUCCCACAAGACUAUACAUUGACCGACCAUGAUCUAUGUGCUCAUAUAGCAAUAGAAUCAUCUUUUAGAAAACAAUUGUUGGUUCAGAUAGAUGGAAGUUCUGUCUUGCAACAUCAAUUGAUGUGCCUGCUAGAUGAAAAAGAGUGGGUAAAUGAUGAUGUGAUCAAUGCAUGUAUAUGUUGUAUAAAGGACCAAAUACAUCUCCAGAAUGAUAAUAAAGUAUAUUUUGAGAGUCCAUUUGUUACCUCACUAUUUAAACGAGAUGGCACCAUUGGAAUACAAGAAGAUAGUGCCUUCAUGACAGAGACUGUCCUUGAAUAUAUGCAGCCUGACAUGAUUAAACUUCCAAUAAAUGCCAAUAACACACAUUGGUAUUUAGCUGUUGUGAAUACAAAAAAAAUGUGAGGUUCAAGUACUAGACUCAUUGUGCUGGAAUUCUGACAGAGAUGAUCUCGCUAAUACGCUACGAGGAAUACAAUUUCAUUUGGACCUUCUUAAAAGUCAAAAGUUGGUAAGUGACGAUUGGAAAGACGUUGAUCUUACUGAAUGGAAGAUCACAGAACAAUUACAAAAGGCAAUUCAAAAAUAUAGCUCUUCAUGUGGUUUAUUUAUGGUUAAAUUUAUGGAAUAUUUCACCGGAUGUGCACUAUCCUACCCAAUUACACAAGAAAGUAUGGAUUUAGAGUUCAAAAUCAUAUCCAAUAAGCUUGUCUCUUAGAAAACUACAAGGAAUGCUAAAGGAUGAUUUACCCAUGGACCGAGAUUGCUUUAACUUGAUCGUACGAAAGAUUAUGUUGGAUGACAUCCAAACAUCACAAAAAAAGCAAUUGAUAGCAAAGCAUUAUCUGGACAUGAAAUUUUGGAUGGCUACUGAUUUUGGAAGGCACCCAGAUUUCCGUAAAAAGUUAGAUGUGGAGCAACUAGCAAAAUCUGUUCGUAGUUGGCCCGGUAUCAAAUAUAAUGUUUCAACAUGCAAAUCGAUCCAUAUCCCAGUACAAUCCAUUGAUGAAUUCAUUCUAUUCACAUUGGACCAAGAUACAAGAACAAUAUACAUUUUGGACCCUACUCCUUUUAAUCCAAUAUACCGAACAACCCACUCGCAAAAUAUUUGAAAAAAUUAUAUGGAUUAACGAACACUUACCGAAAGCAAUGUCAAAAGCAUGCCCUGGGUCUAGAUGGAACGAGGAUAUUCUCCUAUGGCAUCAUAAAAUCCUAGAUGAUAUUCCAGUUUACAACAGGGAACUGUCUGGUUAUCUUGUUCCCCUAUUCAUGUCCACAUGGGAAGAUGAAAGACCACAUUUGCCAUUUUUAAAGAAAACUAAUUUUGGGCCAAGUGCUAACAUUCAAGGACAAUGAAUGUGAAGAUAACAUGCCUGCUGGUGUAUUGGAAUUCAUCAAUUGUAUUAGGAAAAUCCAAAAUUAAAUUGGGAGCUCAAUCGGUGGAAGGUGAUUUGUCGGAGAGAAUUCUUGCAGCCAACAAUUAAUAGACAAUGAGCAGGGAGACAAUGACAAUUAAUAAUAGAUUUUGGUUUCUACUUAAGAUAUCGCUUACAUAUAUGUAGAAAAACUUUGGAGCUUGCCAGGAUAUAGUUUUUUUGGGGUUACCAAUUAUAAGCGACGAUGGAGUGCUUCAAAAUUUGAUGUUUGGGGGUUCAAACAUGACAAUACUGUGGAAAUCACAAAUAAUACAGAAUCAUGUACCGUGUUGAUCAAUAAUUAUUUUAUAGUUUGUUUCUAGUGAUUU
Triticum urartu is the source of this 2642-nucleotide non-coding RNA. NCBI's taxonomy places the organism in Eukaryota, Viridiplantae, Streptophyta, Magnoliopsida, Poales, Poaceae. The record is from RefSeq and is a predicted model, not a curated record.